Molecule: long non-coding RNA, 1212 nt
Filed under: Mus musculus (house mouse)
Lineage: Eukaryota; Metazoa; Chordata; Mammalia; Rodentia; Muridae
Description: RIKEN cDNA E330011O21 gene
Source: RNAcentral
UCCAGCUGUUCUAACACCUCCUGCCUGCCAGUACUGACUCUUUAUGCAUGGGGGCUUCCGGCUUAUCUAUACUUCGAAGACAGUGAACUAGGUAAUAUUAAAGGUUAACCAGAUAUAGGACUCCUCUGUCUUGCUACGAUGGACAGCCACAAGGAUUCACUUGAAUAAAAGAAGCAACAGUGGGUGCCAGGCUGUUUGAAUUCUUAUUCGGGGUCCAGAGAGAUGGGUAAGAGCAUUUGUUGCUCUUGCAGCGGACCUGGGUUUGGUGUCUAACAUCCAUGUGGUGGCUCACAUCCAUCAGUAACUCCAUUCGAGGAGAUCCAAUACCCUCUACUGCCCUCCUCUAGUACCACACAGUGCUGUGGAUUGAAUGGCGGGCCUUGCACAGAAAUGUGCUGUUUUGUUAUACAUUUAUUACAAAGAAUCUCACAAAAAGAAAAUAUUUCAAAAAGAAUGCCAGGCUAAAGAACCUCCACCUGGAGAACUGGGGGAAGGCAGGGCAAUAAUAUCAACGUCAACAUACAGCACCCUCUGGCCAUACUUUAGCAGUUCCAGGAUGGCCAAGACGACAUCGUUGAUGUAACAGAAACCUGAGGCGUCAGACUUCUUUACAUGAUGCAGUCCCCCAGCCUGGCUCGCAGUGAUGUCCCUCUGAUGUGUAUCAAGUUUCACAGCACUUUCCAAAGAGCCACCAAUAGACAACUGACAACUCAGACAGGCCAUCGAUUACCGGGAAGUCCUCACCAACGCGGAAUCUCUGCAUCUGCUUGCUGUAUUUAGACACAUUAUCUGGGCGAAUAGAGCACAAGAGUUUAAUGUAGUCAUCACUGUGGGACUUGGUCAUCUCCUCAGCGUUGGCUCUGUGAGGACGAUAGAUUUCCAUUUUUUGGUAGAGAUGUAGUUGAGCUGCAAAUCACGAGUCAUGUGGAUUCGGUGAGGCUUCAUUGGGUGGCCCUGUCCAUAAGAUAGUUUCCAACAUCCCUGUUAACAGACGUUCCUCUUGCCCUGAGUCUGUGCCAUCUUUCUCACCACCCAGUGCUCCUGCCAGUCUGAUGUUUUAAUAUUUUUAGAUGGUGAUGCUUUGAGUUUAAAUGGCCUUUGACAAAUUCUAUCCUAAUUUCUAAUUAAGACAAGGAAAGAAAACAAAGAUGGAUAAGGACCAUAAAGUAAUGAAUGGACUGGAAACAGAAGUAAACUUAUUCAACAAUAAAA